UGGGGAAUUUUGGACAAUGGGCGAAAGCCUGAUCCAGCAAUGCCGCGUGUGUGAAGAAGGCCUUCGGGUUGUAAAGCACUUUUGUCCGGAAAGAAAUCCUUGGCUCUAAUACAGUCGGGGGAUGACGGUACCGGAAGAAUAAGCACCGGCUAACUACGUGCCAGCAGCCGCGGUAAUACGUAGGGUGCAAGCGUUAAUCGGAAUUACUGGGCGUAAAGCGUGCGCAGGCGGUUUGCUAAGACCGAUGUGAAAUCCCCGGGCUCAACCUGGGAACUGCAUUGGUGACUGGCAGGCUAGAGUAUGGCAGAGGGGGGUAGAAUUCCACGUGUAGCAGUGAAAUGCGUAGAGAUGUGGAGGAAUACCGAUGGCGAAGGCAGCCCCCUGGGCCAAUACUGACGCUCAUGCACGAAAGCGUGGGGAGCAAACAGGAUUAGAUACCCUGGUAGUCCACGCCCUAAACGAUGUCAACUAGUUGUUGGGGGAUUCAUUUCCUUAGUAACGUAGCUAACGCGUGAAGUUGACCGCCUGGGGAGUACGGUCGCAAGAUUAAAACUCAAAUGGAAUUGACGGGGUCAUAGCUGUUUCCU
This 587-nucleotide ribosomal RNA is filed under the name uncultured bacterium. Its description in RNAcentral is "partial 16S ribosomal RNA". It matches the Rfam family "Bacterial small subunit ribosomal RNA", at positions 355 to 1375 of the family's 1533-position model. The record is from RNAcentral.